CGGCGCCAACAAUUUAUAAAUGAACCAAAAGUGUUGAAUGAGCUACUGACUGAGUAUCCAGCUCUUCAGCUUGUUUCAGAGGUAAAAGCAGAAUUUGGUCGAAUUUUGGCAGACCAAAAUGCAGCCAGCAACAUGGUUAUCCAUUACAAUAAUAUGGUUCAAAAUGUAAUAAAAUGGGCUGGCAAUAGUGACAACAAACACAUAAAAAUAUUGAUGUCAGACAUGGAGGCCAUGCUGUUGCAAAAACCUAAUAAGGAAGCUGAUAUAAGGAGUGCAGUUACAGCAUUGAUUAUUCAGGUUGUGUUGAAUGA
Long non-coding RNA from Xenia sp. Carnegie-2017, 311 nucleotides. RefSeq lists it as uncharacterized. NCBI's taxonomy places the organism in Eukaryota, Metazoa, Cnidaria, Anthozoa, Malacalcyonacea, Xeniidae. The transcript has 3 exons. The record is from RefSeq and is a predicted model, not a curated record.